Formica exsecta is the source of this 2802-nucleotide RNA transcript. It is a transcript of the gene named segment polarity protein dishevelled homolog DVL-3, with no coding region annotated. The transcript has 11 exons. The record is from RefSeq and is a predicted model, not a curated record. Lineage: Eukaryota; Metazoa; Arthropoda; Insecta; Hymenoptera; Formicidae.
UUAUUCUUUAUUCUUAGGUAGUAAGUAUGCAUGUGUAAGUGUACGCAAGGCUGACGAUGUUGACGUUUAAUUUAUCGUCGCGAUCGCUACGAAUAUUAUAUGGAUUCAACGGAUAAUGCCAGUAACCUCUUCCUAGUGGUGCAACAUCGCGCGAUUACGUCCUCGUGUGACGAGAUUUGCGAGUCGUGAGAUUUCACGAGCCGUGAACAUGCGAUCUUUGUACACACCAGGGGUUUGGCUCGAUGCACGACACGCCAUGUUGGUUUGAAAGAAUAUCUUCUGAGUCGGUAGAAUCUAUUUAGCGAGCGUAUCGUUUUUCGUAUAUCGCGAAUGAACCCAGUGUGAUACACACUCCAGACGAUGGAAGAAACGAAGAUUAUCUAUCACAUGGAUGAUGAGGAGACACCGUACCUGGUGAAACUCAAUAUAUCGCCAGAGAGGGUAACCCUGGCAGACUUCAAGAACGUUUUAAAUCGGCCGAAUUACAAGUAUUUCUUCAAGUCAAUGGACGAUGACUUCGGCGUGGUAAAAGAGGAAAUUAUAGAUGAUGAUGCUCAUCUGCCAUGUUUCAAUGGUCGAGUUGUCUCUUGGCUGGUAUCCGCCGAAGGUAGCAAUGUCUCGGAUGGUGCAUCCCAGUGUACAGACUCUAUGGCACACAGUGAAGCAAAACAUGAUCGUGCAGAUCAUAUAACUUCUGGACAUGGUAACAGGGGAACAGCUCCACUUUCACACGACGAUACAUUGACAGAGACGGAAAGUAUUAUAAGCAGUCGACAAGGACAUCAUUUACAUAAAAGCUCGAGACAUCAUUCAGAAAAAUAUGAAAAGUACAAUAAAUAUAAUGGACUUCGUAUAAAUGGUCAUUCGAAACAUCGCUCUGGUCAUGGAUAUGAAACUGCUUCCAUUUUGAGUUCAGAUUUAGAAACAACAACUUUUUUGGAAUCUGACGAUGAUGCGAGUAGUCGUAUCACAUCGACGACAGGUCGGCACACCAAUAUGAGUAGCACAGUUGAUAGAGGCACUCUGGAUCGACGUCGACCGCAAAGAAGACGGCGGCAUAGAUUACCACCCAUGUCGCGAACGUCAUCGUUUAGUAGUAUUACUGACAGUACAAUGUCUUUAAAUAUUAUAACUGUGUCACUGAAUAUGGAUACUGUUAAUUUCCUUGGUAUUAGUAUUGUCGGGCAAAGUAACAAAGGUGGAGAUGGAGGAAUAUAUGUUGGUUCAAUAAUGAAAGGGGGAGCAGUUGCUUUAGAUGGUCGAAUAGAACCCGGUGACAUGAUUCUCCAAGUCAAUGAUAUUAAUUUCGAAAAUAUGUCUAAUGACGAAGCGGUGAGAGUAUUACGCGAAGUAGUGCAAAAACCAGGACCAAUAAAACUUGUAGUUGCAAAAUGUUGGGACCCAAAUCCUAAAGGUUAUUUUACGAUACCUCGCACAGAACCGGUACGUCCCAUCGAUCCUGGUGCAUGGGUAGCGCAUACGGCCGCUAUACGAGGUGAAGGUUUUCCGCCUCGCCCACCAAGUGCCACAACAUUAACUUCAACAUCGAGCAGUCUUGCGAGCACGCUGCCAGAUACCGAACGACCAUUGGAAGAACUUCAUUUAACAGUCAACACCGACAUGCCGACAGUAGUACGAGCAAUGGCUCGAUCUGAUUCAGGCUUAGAGAUACGCGAUCGAAUGUGGCUUAAAAUUACCAUUCCAAAUGCAUUUAUCGGUGCGGAUGUUGUGGACUGGCUGAAUACGCACGUAGAAGGAUUUAUUGAUCGGCGCGAUGCUAGGAAAUAUGCAUCGCUCAUGCUAAAAGCUGGCUUUAUUCGGCAUACAGUGAACAAAAUCACAUUUUCCGAACAAUGCUAUUACAUUUUUGGUGAUCUAUGUUCAGCGAUGAGUAGCAUGAAACUAGAUUGUGAUACAGUUGGUCCCUUGCCACCGCCAAAUGCUUGGGACAUGCCUUAUUCGGGAACAUAUGCACCACAUUCAGCGGCUGGUUAUAGUCCCAUGCCAUUUAAUUUUACAAAUGAGCCCACUGUCUAUGGUUACCAUCGAGAAGAGAGCGUGCAUAGUGGUUCGGGUGGUAGCAGUGCAGGUAGUGAACGUAUAUGCAAAGAACCUAUUCACGAUCUAAAAUCGUGCUCUUCGGCAUCAGAAUCAGAAUUACAUAAUCCAUCGAUGCCGUCAAUGCCAAGCAAAAAUUCCGGCAAUGGUAAUGGAUCGAAUGGAAAGAGAUCUAACGGAAGUCGCAGUCGUUCUAGUGGUUCCGAACAAUCUGUUCAAACGGGAACAGGAUCAGGGAAUCAGCAGAAUCAACAAGAUUUAUCUGAUGGUUGAUGCAGGGCGGCGUCUACACGAGGAGACUCAUACACAAACUAGUGAUUUGGACAACAAUAGCAGAGAUGAUAUCUAUGAGGAAGAUAUUUUGGAGUACCAGUUUCUACAUAAGUGAGAAGACCUUUUUUAAUGUAUACGCAUAAUGAUGGUAAUAUGAGUCACACAAAUGAUCAAGGUAUAUUUCCAUUGACUUUUUAUUAGUUGGAUGGAAAUAGCACACAUGCGAAACAUAUAUUUAUAUAUUUAAUAGGCCAAUUUUGAUAUCAUAGAAAGUAAAAAAUUAAAAUUCAUAAUUAUGAUUUAUAUAUACGUAUAUAUAUAAAAAAAUAUAUAUAUAUAUAACGGCUAUACAUAAUAAAAUUAAGACCAUAAAGAUAUUGUCGUGGUAAUUAAAAUUUGUUUAAGAAUAUUAGUAUAACCCACAUUUUAUUUUUUUCUAUUAAAACAUUUUCAUUUUUCUAAAAAAAAAAA